UACGUAGGGUGCAAGCGUUGUCCGGAAUUAUUGGGCGUAAAGAGCUCGUAGGCGGUUUGUCGCGUCGAAUGUGAAAACCUGGGGCUCAACCCCGGGCCUGCAUUCGAUACGGGCAGACUAGAGUUCGGUAGGGGAGUCUGGAAUUCCUGGUGUAGCGGUGAAAUGCGCAGAUAUCAGGAGGAACACCGGUGGCGAAGGCGGUUCUCUGGGCAUGUCCUGACGCUGAGGAGCGAAAGUGUGGGGAGCGAACAGG
Molecule: ribosomal RNA, 253 nt
Filed under: uncultured bacterium
Lineage: Bacteria
Description: partial 16S ribosomal RNA
Rfam family: Bacterial small subunit ribosomal RNA
Source: RNAcentral